RNAcentral lists this ribosomal RNA (492 nucleotides) under uncultured bacterium. Its description in RNAcentral is "partial 16S ribosomal RNA". It matches the Rfam family "Bacterial small subunit ribosomal RNA", at positions 29 to 507 of the family's 1533-position model. The record is from RNAcentral.
AGUGAACGCUGGCGGUAGGCCUAACACAUGCAAGUCGAACGGCAGCACAGUAAGAGCUUGCUCUUACGGGUGGCGAGUGGCGGACGGGUGAGGAAUACAUCGGAAUCUACUUUUUCGUGGGGGAUAACGUAGGGAAACUUACGCUAAUACCGCAUACGACCUACGGGUGAAAGCAGGGGAUCUUCGGACCUGGCGCGAAUGAAUGAGCCGAUGUCGGAUUAGCUAGUUGGCGGGGUAAAGGCCCACCAAGGCGACGAUCCGUAGCUGGUCUGAGAGGAUGAUCGGCCACACUGGAACUGGGACACGGUCCAGGCUCCUACGGGAGGCAGCAGUCGGGAAUAUUGGACAAUGGGCGCAAGCCUGGUCCAGCCAUACCGCGUGGGUGAAGAAGGCGUUCGGGGUGUAAAGACCUUUUGUUGGGAAAGAAAAGCAGCAGGUUAAUACCCCGCUGUUCUGACGGUACCCAAAGAAUAAGCACCGGCUAACUUCGUG